This 431-nucleotide long non-coding RNA is filed under the name Dasypus novemcinctus (nine-banded armadillo). RNAcentral describes it as "lncRNA (ENSDNOG00000050327.1)". The record is from RNAcentral. Lineage: Eukaryota; Metazoa; Chordata; Mammalia; Cingulata; Dasypodidae.
GAAGUAGUAGGUGAGCUGCGCUCUAUCAUUUACUGUAGAAUGGAGCAAGAAUGCUGGGGCUCUGCUGACUUACUGAGGUGCCACCGUAAGAUUUUUACACUGCUACAAUGACAGGAUGUACCUGAUUGGUUUCCAGCCAUCUAGUAAACUCCACCUCAAGAAGAAGCCUCUGAUUGUCCUGAGAAGUUUGAGAGGUUGUGGUGAUGUCUAAAACUGAGACUUGCAGGCAAGUUCUCUUUGGAAACGGAAGGACACAGACUGCAAAAAGCUGGCCAAAGGAUGCAUGUGGCAAACAAAGGUAAAAAUAGGCAGACAACAUAUAGGAAAACAGCUCAUGGGUCUGUUAAUUAAGAUUAAAAUUUCCAAAUAGUAAAACUUUUUGACAACCCAAUGUCUCUAAAGCAAGUUUACAUUUUACAUCAAGACCAAGG